This 318-nucleotide long non-coding RNA is filed under the name Gossypium raimondii (Peruvian cotton). RNAcentral's name for it is "long non-coding RNA (GRAI_LNC008431)". Lineage: Eukaryota; Viridiplantae; Streptophyta; Magnoliopsida; Malvales; Malvaceae. The record is from RNAcentral.
CCAGUUGUGUAGUAGAAGUUGGGUGGAAUUGAAACUUUGUGGUAGUGGAUGAGUGUUAAUGGGUCAGUUUUGGUGAGAUUUGUUAGUUAGUGGGAUUGUGAGAGUUUGGAUGUUAUAUUUUUUUCUCUUUUUUUCCAGAAAAUUCUUUUUCCCCUUUUGACUUUUUUUCUAUUUCAUUUCUUUAUCUUCUCCGUUUUCUGCUCCCAUUGAUUUUGGUCACAGUUAUCGUUGUUCGUUGUGUUUUGAAUCCCUGGGUUCUUCGUGCGGCUUUGUAGGUAAGAGUUCGUUGUGGUUUUGAAAGGAAUAUUGGUUAAUGUC